Molecule: ribosomal RNA, 253 nt
Filed under: uncultured bacterium
Lineage: Bacteria
Description: partial 16S ribosomal RNA
Rfam family: Bacterial small subunit ribosomal RNA
Source: RNAcentral
UACGAAGGGGGCUAGCGUUGCUCGGAAUCACUGGGCGUAAAGCGCACGUAGGCGGAUUGCUAAGUCAGGGGUGAAAUCCUGGAGCUCAACUCCAGAACUGCCUUUGAUACUGGCGACCUUGAGUCCGGGAGAGGUGAGUGGAACUGCGAGUGUAGAGGUGAAAUUCGUAGAUAUUCGCAAGAACACCAGUGGCGAAGGCGGCUCACUGGACUGCCACUGACGCUGAGGCGCGAAAGCUAGGGGAGCAAACAGG